GUGCCCUUUAAAGGUUGAUGCAGUGCUUCAAGAUGCUACACGGAAAAGUAAAGAAAAGCUCUAGAGAAGAGGUUGCAAACACUUCUUUGGAUCCUGCCUGGAAAUCACAAUU
Erinaceus europaeus (western European hedgehog) is the source of this 112-nucleotide small nucleolar RNA. The record is from Ensembl. Lineage: Eukaryota; Metazoa; Chordata; Mammalia; Eulipotyphla; Erinaceidae.